Molecule: non-coding RNA, 2388 nt
Organism: Lolium perenne
Lineage: Eukaryota; Viridiplantae; Streptophyta; Magnoliopsida; Poales; Poaceae
Source: RefSeq, a predicted model, not a curated record
CCCAACACCCAAAAUCCCCUCCCAUCGCCGCAUCCUCUCUCCUCCCGUUCCCCAUUCCUCCUGCUCCAUCUACGGCAGAUCCCGGCCAACUCCGGCCAGCCCCCCUGCCUUGCUGGCCACCAUCCCGACACUCCCUCAUCCUCCUCUCUCGAAUCCUCCGCGAGGAACAGCCAGGCCGCAUCACCACCUCAAACCCUAGCCUCCGGCUCUACAGAGCUCAAGUUUCGACCUUUGGGUCCAUGGCGGCGACACGGCCGCAGGACGGGGUGAGGCGGUUCGGUGGCGAUCUUAACGCGCAGACCGCAAUGGAUUUCUCAGCUCCAUGCGCGUGGCGCACCUGAAUCCUCUUUUUUGCCACCCCGCUCAAACCCUAGACCCGCCGCGGCCAAAUCCUAUCACCGCCCCAACUCCGGCAACCGAGAACAUGUUGGCCACCGUGGAAGGCCAAGGACUACUACGAAGAGGGCCACGCGCCAGGAGGACAGCGGCAACGCCCCGACAAACAUGCUGCUGCUACCCCCCGUGAGCGAGGUUCAAAUCAUAUUUGGGCACCAAGCUGCUGCUUAUGGAACCAUACCAGGAGGUGGCGGCCAGCCAGGUGAGGAGGAGGCUGACUUCAUCGGUGACAUCUGCAAGUGCCGCGGGGAGGUGCUACAGUCGCUGAUGAUCGACGGCAUCUAUUGACUUGGUCUCCGGAAAGAGAAACUCACCGACGAGGAGGUGCGCCGUUGUCGUGACAAGGAUGCUGAACUGCUGCUUGUUGCCUACACCAUCCGCGUUGAAGGCCUCCUGAAGCUCUUGCCUGUGCUCACUGAUCCGACCUGGCACAACUCCGAUGGGCUGCUGUUGCCAAUGACUUGCAGCUGGUUCAAAUCAUAUCAGAGGAUGAGAAGGAGAGACUCAAUGGCGUUGCAAGAGGAAGUCUCUACGGUGGCCGCCAAUCAGCUAUGAGGUCUUCAUCAAUAGCAUCUCACCUACCAGGAGGUUACCGCCGCCACCAACCGUCCAUUCUUUGUGUAGGUUCAGUGCACGCUGCCAUGCUUGUUUGGGUUUAACUGAAUCUGUUGCAUGCCCUCAUGGUUAUGAAUGAAUGAAUAAAACUGAAUAGCCGCUUGAUGCAAUCCUCUCUUUCUUGGACAACUCGCUUUUGGGCUCUGAAUUUUGUCAGCACUGUCGGUUACAACUCUUAUAUGAAAUGGCUAGAACAACAUAUGAUCGUCAAUGAGUUUCCACUAUAAUUUCUCCAACUGUAAUUUGCCAGAUUAGUAAAGUUGCAUAUCUAUGAUAUCUUUUAAGUUUGUUUCUUCUUGCACUCGAUAAUCAUGUUUAGAAUUUAAUUGCCACCAUUGUUGAGGUCUCUCUUCACCACCUCCUCCAUGUGUUGCUCUUUUUUUUUCCUGUUGAAAUGUGUACGGUGUUGAAUGGAUGAACAUGCAUUGUGUGCUUAGGCAGUGGGUCUGCUGAUUUUUUUGCUGCUUAUGCAUCGACAGUGCUGACAAAUUCUAUUGUUUUCAAGUUCAAUGCAUAUCGGAGCUGAAAAAAAGGCAUGAAGUUGGGGAACUGGGACGAGAUGGUUUGAUUACGAAUUGGUAUUAUGGAGUGCUUGCUUAUUUUUUCGUGACUCAUUUAUGGCAUAAGAAUAAGAUGAUAAGAUAUAUGGAUGAUUUUGCUUUAUUAAUUGAAUGAUCUGAUUUUUGUCCCAUUAUUUGCUUUUUGGCUCUUUCCUCCGCUCUUCUACUUUGUUCUGUAUUCUUUCAUGUCUGAUUGGUGAUGGCAUGCAUGGCUGAGCCAUUUCUUUCUUGAAUUUGUCAAAAUUUUGCCUGAAUUCGCCUCCUUCCAUUUCAGGAUAUUGGCCCCAAGGAUUUGUUGGGUGGUGGAGGCCAAGAGGCAAGUAGUCACCUACAGCAGCCGGAUGACGGUAUAGCCCAAGGGGGUGGUGGAUUCAGGGCCGACAAUGAUCUCAGCUUGGAUGAUGCCAGGCACGAGAAUGGCUAUGCUUGGAAGUCUUUGAUAUUGGAAAAAAUGGAUGGUCUCUCCUAUUUUGCGAGUUAAUCGAUGGACGAGCUGAGCUUCUUUGACUAGUGAUGUGAUGCUGCAGCGGUACAUGGAGCCAUGCUUCUUCUGUGGUGCUUCUGCAGGGGUUCCCUGAUGCGGCAGCACCAGCAGCAAGAGAGAAGAAGAGUUGAUGGUCCGUGAUGGUUUUUUUUGUGUUUAUUCAAGUGAUGGUGCUCUUGUAGUGUUGUGGUCUUAAAUUUUCUGCUAGCUGUGUGGUGCUCUUGUAACAUUAAUUAUUUUUAACUUGCUUCGUUGGUUAAACUUGUGGGUCGAAUUCUGUACCAGAGUGAUGUUUUUGUCACUUGUUAUCAUAUAUUUGCUGUGUGAUCAGAA